Molecule: ribosomal RNA, 406 nt
Filed under: uncultured bacterium
Lineage: Bacteria
Description: partial 16S ribosomal RNA
Rfam family: Bacterial small subunit ribosomal RNA
Source: RNAcentral
AUUGAACGCUGGCGGCAGGCCUAACACAUGCAAGUCGAGCGAGCGGCGGACGGGUGAGUAAUGUCUGGGAAACUGCCUGAUGGAGGGGGGUAACUACUGGAAACGGUAGCUAAUACCGCAUACCAUCGGAUGUGCCGAGAUGGGGUUUGCUAGUAGGUGGGGUAAAGGCUCACCUAGGCGACGAUCCCUAGCUGGGCUGAGAGGAUGACCAGCCACACUGGAACUGAGACACGGCCCAGACGCCUACGGGAGGCAGCAGUGGGGAAUGUUGCACAUGGGGCGCAAGCCUGAUGCAGCCAUGCCGCGGUUAUGAAGAAGGCCUUCGGGUUGUAAAGUACUUUCAGCGGGGAGGCGUUACCCGCAGAAGAAGCACCGGCUAACUCCGUGCCAGCAGCCGCGGUAAUAC